CACAUCUAUUUGACAGGGCUGGAGUGGUUAUUUCUGCUGUUAAGAGUUGCACUAUAGAUGCAAGAAAAAAGUGUCCUUUCAUUUUCUGUCCCUCUGGUUGUGGCAGCCAAGAUUGAGUGGGGGAAUACAGGA
Molecule: small nucleolar RNA, 132 nt
Filed under: Carlito syrichta (Philippine tarsier)
Lineage: Eukaryota; Metazoa; Chordata; Mammalia; Primates; Tarsiidae
Description: Small nucleolar RNA SNORA31 (ENSTSYG00000025335.2)
Source: RNAcentral